RNAcentral lists this ribosomal RNA (253 nucleotides) under uncultured bacterium. RNAcentral's name for it is "partial 16S ribosomal RNA". It matches the Rfam family "Bacterial small subunit ribosomal RNA", at positions 524 to 776 of the family's 1533-position model. The record is from RNAcentral.
UACGAAGGGUGCAAGCGUUACUCGGAAUUACUGGGCGUAAAGGGUGCGUGGGUGGCGUGGUAAGUCGGGUGUGAAAUUUCGGAGCUUAACUCCGAAACUGCAUUCGAUACUGCCGUGCUUGAGGACUGGAGAGGAGACUGGAAUUUACGGUGUAGCAGUGAAAUGCGUAGAGAUCGUAAGGAAGACCAGUGGCGAAGGCGGGUCUCUGGACAGUUCCUGACACUGAGGCACGAAGGCCAGGGGAGCAAACGGG